CGAGCAACGCCGCGUGAGUGAAGAAGGGUUUUCGGAUCGUAAAACUCUGUUGUUAGAGAAGAACAAGGAUGAGAGUAACUGUUCAUCCCUUGACGGUAUCUAACCAGAAAGCCACGGCUAACAACGUGCCAGCAGCCGCGGUAAUAA
RNAcentral lists this ribosomal RNA (147 nucleotides) under uncultured bacterium. RNAcentral describes it as "partial 16S ribosomal RNA". It matches the Rfam family "Bacterial small subunit ribosomal RNA", at positions 388 to 526 of the family's 1533-position model. The record is from RNAcentral.